GAUGAACGCUGGCGGCGUGCCUAAUACAUGCAAGUCGAGCGAACAGACGAGGAGCUUGCUCCUCUGACGUUAGCGGCGGACGGGUGAGUAACACGUGGAUAACCUACCUAUAAGACUGGGAUAACUUCGGGAAACCGGAGCUAAUACCGGAUAAUAUAUUGAACCUCAUGUUUCAAUAGUGAAAGACGGUUUUGCUGUCACUUAUAGAUGGAUCCGCGCCGCAUUAGCUAGUUGGUAAGGUAACGGCUUACCAAGGCAACGAUGCGUAGCCGACCUGAGAGGGUGAUCGGCCACACUGGAACUGAGACACGGUCCAGACUCCUACGGGAGGCAGCAGUAGGGACUCUUCCGCAAUGGGCGAAAGCCUGACGGAGCACAGCCGCGUGAGUGAUGAAGGUCUUCGGAUCGUAAAACUCUGUUAUUAGGGAAGAACAAAUGUGUAAGUAACUAUGCACGUCUUGACGGUACCUAAUCAGAAAGCCACGGCUAACUACGUG
Molecule: ribosomal RNA, 497 nt
Filed under: uncultured bacterium
Lineage: Bacteria
Description: partial 16S ribosomal RNA
Rfam family: Bacterial small subunit ribosomal RNA
Source: RNAcentral